AACGAACGCUGGCGGCAUGCCUAACACAUGCAAGUCGAACGAGACCUGCGGGUCUAGUGGCGCACGGGUGCGUAACGCGUGGGAACCUGCCCUUAGGUUCGGAAGAACUCCCCGAAAGGGGUGCUAAUACCGGCUAAUGUCUUCGGACCAAAGAUUUAUCGCCUUUGGAUGGGCCCGCGUUGGAUUAGCUAGUUGGUAGGGUAAAAGCCUACGAAGGCGACGAUCCAUAGAUGGUCUGAGAGGAUGAUCAGCCACACUGGGACUGAGACACGGCCCAGACUACUAGGGGAGGCAGCAGUGGGGAAUAUUGGACAAUGGGCGAAAGCAUGAUCCAGCAAUGCCGGGUGAGUGAUGCAGGCGUUAGGGUUGUAAAGCUCUUUUACCCGGGAUGCUAAUGACAGUACCGGGAGAAUAAGCACCGGCUAACUCCGUG
This 433-nucleotide ribosomal RNA is filed under the name uncultured bacterium. Its description in RNAcentral is "partial 16S ribosomal RNA". It matches the Rfam family "Bacterial small subunit ribosomal RNA", at positions 29 to 507 of the family's 1533-position model. The record is from RNAcentral.